RNAcentral lists this ribosomal RNA (620 nucleotides) under Aeromonas sp. RNAcentral describes it as "bacterial SSU rRNA". It matches the Rfam family "Bacterial small subunit ribosomal RNA", at positions 68 to 680 of the family's 1533-position model. Lineage: Bacteria; Pseudomonadati; Pseudomonadota; Gammaproteobacteria; Aeromonadales; Aeromonadaceae. The record is from RNAcentral.
GCGGGAAGUAGCUUGCUACUUUUGCCGGCGAGCGGCGGAUGGGUGAGUUUGCCUGGGAAAUUGCCCAGUCGAGGGGGAUAACAGUUGGAAGCGACUGCUAAUACCGCAUACGCCCUACGGGGGAAAGCAGGGGACCUUCGGGCCUUGGGCGAUUGGAUAUGCCCAGGUGGGAUUACCUUGUUGGUGAGGUAAUGGCUCACCAAGGCGACGAUCCCUAGCUGGUCUGAGAGGAUGAUCAGCCACCCUGGAAGUGAGACACGGUCCGGACUCCUACGGGAGGCAGCAGUGGGGAAUAUUGCACAAUGGGGGAAACCCUGAUGCAGCCAUGCCGCGUGUGUGAAGGAGGCCUUGGGGUUGUAAAGCACUUUCAGCGAGGAGGAAAGGUUGAUACCUAAGACGUAUCAACUGUGACGUUACUCGCAGAAAAAGCACGGGCUAACUCCGUGCCAGCGCCCGCGGUAAUACGGAGGGUGCAAGCGUUAAUCGGAAUUACUGGGGCGUAAAGCGCAUGCAGGCUGUUGGAUAAGUUAGAUGUGAAAGCCCCGGGCUCAACCUGCGAAUUGCAUUUAGAACUGUCCAGCUACAGUCUUGUACAGGGGGGUAAAAUUCCCGGUGUAGCG